AGCAACGUACGACAAACAUGUGCUUCCAAAAUAAACGAUGAAGACAAGAAAACACAUGAAAAUAGUCUGUCUUAAAUUAUUGAUAUCUGAAUUAAAAAAUGGUAGAAUGCUUCUUCCCACUCUGUUCCACCAUUAGUUAACUACGAAUCCCAGUACAAUGGCUGCUCUCCAAGUCUCUUUCUCUCUCUCUCUGUGUCAAUCAAAACGACCCAAACCCAAGAAACCAUCCAAAUCCAUCAGUCGAUUCACCACGUAAAACCCACAAACAAAAAUGCUCUCAACAGGGCUCUCUCUGUUUUCAUCACCCCAAAAUAUUAUCCACUGUUCUCCCCUGCAUCCCACCCGAAACCCACGAAAAUCCCACUUCUUUUUCGUGGUUUCAAGCAGUUCUACAACAAAGAUGUCGGCGACGGCGCCUGCUGCGACGAAGACGAGCUUCAGGUUCAAGAAUUUGAUGGAGACGUUCGAAGUUGAUGUGCAGAGAGCGGAGAAUAGGCCACUGAAUGUUCCUUUGAUUGCGCCGUUUACGAUUGCGUCGUCGAGGCUGGAGAGGGUGGAGAAUGUAGCAAUCAGGAUCGAGCUGAGAAAUGGGUGUGCGGGAUGGGGUGAGGCUCCAAUUUUGCCUUUUGUGACUGCGGAGGACCAGAGCACAGCGAUGGCGAAGGCGGCCGAGGCUUGUGAAUUGCUAAGGCGGAGUCCGGCUAUGACGUUGGGGUCGUUGCUGGCGGAGAUUGGUGGGGUUCUUCCUGGACAUGAGUUUGCUUCUGUUAGGGCAGGAGUCGAAAUGGCUGUGAUAGAUGCCGUUGCUACUAGCAUUGGUGUACCCUUGUGGAGACUGUUUGGUGGAGUUUCAAAUACCAUAACAACUGAUAUAACAAUUCCAAUUGUUUCCCCAGCUGAAGCUGCUGAAUUGGCUUCCAAGUAUCACAGUCAAGGAUUCAAGACUUUGAAGCUUAAGGUAGGAAAGAAUCUGAAAGCAGAUAUAGAAGUUCUUCAGGCCAUACGUGUGGCACAUCCUGAGUGCUUGUUUAUCUUGGAUGCCAAUGAGGGCUACAAACCGAGGGAAGCAAUUGAAGUUCUUGAAAAAUUACAUGAAAUGGGGGUCACUCCUGUUCUUUUUGAACAGCCUGUUCAUAGAGAUGAUUGGGAAGGUCUUGGUCAUGUUACCGGCAUUGCAAAAGACAAAUAUGGGGUAUCUGUUGCAGCUGAUGAAAGUUGUCGAAGCUUAGUUGACGUUAAGAAAAUAGUCCAAGAAAAACUUGCGGAUGUCAUUAACAUUAAGCUUGCCAAAGUUGGGGUUGUGGGAGCCCUUGAGAUUAUUGAGUUGGCAAGGGCGUCAGGGUUACAUCUGAUGAUUGGUGGUAUGGUUGAGACUAGAUUGGCCAUGGGCUUUGCUGGUCACCUUGCUGCUGGCCUUGGGUGUUUCAAGUUCAUUGACCUAGAUACACCCCUUUUGCUAUCUGAAGAUCCAGUUCUUGGGGGUUAUGAAGUCUCUGGUGCGGUCUACAAGUUCAGAAAUUCUAGAGGCCAUGGUGGUUUCCUUCAUUGGGACAAUAUUGCUUGACCUGGAACUUUUUGGUUGCUUCCUUACUUCUGGACUGUGAGCAGAGUUUAUAUGAUUCUCUUGCUUGAACUAUGCUUAGCCUGGCAGGCCCCCAUUUUAUGAGGGGCUGAACUGAUCUGUGCUUGUAUUGAUGUGUCUCCAGGUCCUGUAUAGGGGUGUGCACUGACUCUGUUGGAGUCGGAAACCCCCUUUCCACAUUCCGCCUCUACUGGAGUCGGAGGAGUCAGAAAACCUCCAACUUUUCCUCUUGAGGAGGGAAUUUCCACCCUGCCUGAGCCUCCAAAAUGUUGGAGGUGGAGUUGGGCAAAAGUGUCAAAAGUGAACUUGGGCUUUUUCUGGAAUUUUUUGGGCCUUGCCAACCAGUAUUUUUUCAGGCUUUAUU
Alnus glutinosa is the source of this 1946-nucleotide RNA transcript. It is a transcript of the gene named L-Ala-D/L-amino acid epimerase, with no coding region annotated. Lineage: Eukaryota; Viridiplantae; Streptophyta; Magnoliopsida; Fagales; Betulaceae. The record is from RefSeq and is a predicted model, not a curated record. The transcript is spliced from 8 exons.